This 480-nucleotide ribosomal RNA is filed under the name Spinachia spinachia (sea stickleback). Its description in RNAcentral is "partial 12S ribosomal RNA". It matches the Rfam family "Bacterial small subunit ribosomal RNA", at positions 848 to 1526 of the family's 1533-position model. Lineage: Eukaryota; Metazoa; Chordata; Actinopteri; Perciformes; Gasterosteidae. The record is from RNAcentral.
AGUCUUACAAUUUCUACCCGCCCGGGUACUACGAGCAUCAGCUUAAAACCCAAAGGACUUGGCGGUGCUUUAGAUCCACCUAGAGGAGCCUGUUCUAGAACCGAUAACCCCCGUUCAACCUCACCUUCUUUUGUUAAUUCCGCCUAUAUACCACCGUCGUCAGCUUACCCCCUGAGGGAAUGAUAGUAAGCAAAAUUGGUAAAGCCUCAAACGUCAGGUCGAGGUGUAGCGUAUAAGUAGGGAAGAAAUGGGCUACAUUCGCUAUUAUAGCGAACACGAAUGAUGUUCUGAAACGCACAUCUGAAGGAGGAUUUAGCAGUAAGUGAAAAGUAGAGAGUUUCACUGAAAUUGGCCCUGAAGCGCGUACACAUCGCCCGUCACUCUCCCCAAGCCUAAAGAUAAAAUUACAUAAAAAAUAAUAAUUGCAAAGGGGAGGCAAGUCGUAACAUAGUAAGUGUACCGGAAGUGUACUUGGCAAAC